GGAAGUAUAAGUCGUAACAAGGUCUCCGUUGGUGAACCAGCGGAGGGAUCAUUACCGAGUUUACAACUCCCAAACCCCUAUGUGAACGUUACCAAACUGUUGCCUCGGCGGGAAAUUCAUGCCCCGGGCGCGUCGCAGCCCCGGACCAAGGCGCCCGCCGGAGGACCAACCAAAACUCUUUUGUAUGUCCCUCGCGGACUUUUAUAAUUCUGAACCAUCUCGGCGCCCCUAGCGGGCGUUUCGAAAAUGAAUCAAAACUUUCAACAACGGAUCUCUUGGUUCUG
RNAcentral lists this unclassified non-coding RNA (284 nucleotides) under plant metagenome. Its description in RNAcentral is "partial contains small subunit ribosomal RNA, internal transcribed spacer 1, and 5.8S ribosomal RNA". The stretch from base 1 to 54 matches the Rfam family "Eukaryotic small subunit ribosomal RNA", at positions 1778 to 1831 of the family's 1831-position model. The record is from RNAcentral.